Long non-coding RNA from Lytechinus pictus (painted urchin), 1753 nucleotides. RefSeq lists it as uncharacterized. Lineage: Eukaryota; Metazoa; Echinodermata; Echinoidea; Temnopleuroida; Toxopneustidae. The transcript has 3 exons. The record is from RefSeq and is a predicted model, not a curated record.
GCCAUGUUUGAAUGACGUACAACCAAAUCUUGGGUCCAGGGCGGAAUCGCUGCUAUGUCUGCCUAUUAGGAACAGUGAGGAUGACGUCAUUGGUGUAGCAUUGGUGAUCAAUAAAGUUACAGGAGCAACGUUUUCUCCAGAUGACGAAAAGCUCUUAGAGACAUAUCUGACGUUCUGUGGAAUCGGGAUCAGCAAUGCGAUGCUCUUUGAUACAUACAUGAAGGAGUAUGACAGAAAUAGGAAACUCUUGGAGGUUGCCCAUGACCUGUUUGAAGAGCAGACAAGCUUAGACAACGUUGUUCAGAAAACGAUGCAGAGGGCCCAGUCAUUACUCAAGUGUGAACGCUGCUCAGUAAUGAUCAUCAAAGAUCCAUCAGCUGAGGUGAGUUUAUUCACACUGAUAUUUACUCAAGUGUGAACGAUGUGCAAUAAUAAUAUAAAGGAUCCAUCAGCUGAGAUGAGUAUGUUCACAUUGAUGUUGCAGUCAUUACUCAAGUGUGAAUGCUAGUCAGUAAUGAUAUCAAGCAUCCUUCAGCAGAGGUGGCUUUAUUCACAUUGAUAUACAAGUACCAGUCAUUACCUAUGUGUGAACGCUGCUAAAUAAUAUCAAAUACCAAUUAUAUCAUUCGUAAACAGAAGCAUUCUUGACACGCUUCUAUACAGUUUAGUUAGAAAGGAGGCGUUUAAAAUCUCAUUUUGGGGAAAUCUAUUUUAGAAGAUCAUCUGUACCCACGGAACAAUGACUGGAGGAUUCUUAUUUUUUCUUUUCAAUUGUUGCCUAUACACAUUUAUUACUAUUUCAAGUUUUGUCAGUGUACUCUGAUUGUGUGUGUAAUUUGAACUUGACAAGUAUACUCAUUCCCUAUUUCUAUGUACUUUUUAGGUACAGUUUCAUACAUUAUCUCCGUUAUUGUGGGAAAGAAAUGUCUUUUGGCACAUAUUUCAUCCUCAUUUCGACUAAGGGUUACACACUUCAGUUUCAAACAAAAAAAAUUAAUACGCCAAAUCAUCUCAUGUUCAUAUUUCAAUCAGUCCAGUCGACAGUCAAGUUUUUGUAUUGGACGAAUUUCAGAGCUUCCUAAACUUGUUCAAAAUGGCUCCGUGCGUCGGAUAAGUGUCACUUAUUAUGGCGUCGCAUACCCUAAAACUUAAUGCUCUAUGCAUUCACACUGAUAUUUACUCAAGUGUGAACGAUGUGCAAUAAUAAUAUAAAGGAUCCAUCAGCUGAGAUGAGUAUGUUCACAUUGAUGUUGCAGUCAUUACUCAAGUGUGAAUGCUAGUCAGUAAUGAUAUCAAGCAUCCUUCAGCAGAGGUGGCUUUAUUCACAUUGAUAUACAAGUACCAGUCAUUACCUAUGUGUGAACGCUGCUAAAUAAUAUCAAAUACCAAUUAUAUCAUUCGUAAACAGAAGCAUUCUUGACACGCUUCUAUACAGUUUAGUUAGAAAGGAGGCGUUUAAAAUCUCAUUUUGGGGAAAUCUAUUUUAGAAGAUCAUCUGUACCCACGGAACAAUGACUGGAGGAUUCUUAUUUUUUCUUUUCAAUUGUUGCCUAUACACAUUUAUUACUAUUUCAAGUUUUGUCAGUGUACUCUGAUUGUGUGUGUAAUUUGAACUUGACAAGUAUACUCAUUCCCUAUUUCUAUGUACUUUUUAGGUACAGUUUCAUACAUUAUCUCCGUUAUUGUGGGAAAGAAAUGUCUUUUGGCACAUAUUUCAUCCUCAUUUCGACUAAGGGUUACACACUUCAGUUUC